AUUGAACGCUGGCGGCAUGCCUUACACAUGCAAGUCGAACGGCAGCACGGGUGCUUGCACCUGGUGGCGAGUGGCGAACGGGUGAGUAAUACAUCGGAACAUGUCCUGUAGUGGGGGAUAGCCCGGCGAAAGCCGGAUUAAUACCGCAUACGAUCCACGGAUGAAAGCGGGGGACCUUCGGGCCUCGCGCUAUAGGGUUGGCCGAUGGCUGAUUAGCUAGUUGGUGGGGUAAAGGCCUACCAAGGCGACGAUCAGUAGCUGGUCUGAGAGGACGACCAGCCACACUGGGACUGAGACACGGCCCAGACUCCUACGGGAGGCAGCAGUGGGGAAUUUUGGACAAUGGGCGAAAGCCUGAUCCAGCAAUGCCGGGUGUGUGAAGAAGGCCUUCGGGUUGUAAAGCACUUUUGUCCGGAAAGAAAUCCUUGGCUCUAAUACAGUCGGGGGAUGACGGUACCGGAAGAAUAAGCACCGGCUAACUACGUG
This 486-nucleotide ribosomal RNA is filed under the name uncultured bacterium. RNAcentral's name for it is "partial 16S ribosomal RNA". It matches the Rfam family "Bacterial small subunit ribosomal RNA", at positions 30 to 507 of the family's 1533-position model. The record is from RNAcentral.